RNAcentral lists this long non-coding RNA (466 nucleotides) under Androctonus crassicauda. Lineage: Eukaryota; Metazoa; Arthropoda; Arachnida; Scorpiones; Buthidae. The record is from RNAcentral.
AUAACCUAUCAAAUCAUACCAAAUAAUACAUCAAACCUAAAAUAAUACUAAAAUAUAGUAAAAGCAGGAAUGAUAUGAUAAAUGCACAGCUUGUAUAAAGUAAAAAUGAUACAUAUACAUUCUAGUUUCACUUAGAGCACAUUUAUAUUUUCAGUUAAGCUAUCAUACUGCAUAUGGGAUUUAUUGUAUCUGAUAGUAGCAAAUUUUAAAGACCAUCACAGCUAGUCAACUCCUAUGAUGAGGUCAACCAGAAAGUUGAAUGAUGGGAUUUAGUAGUCCUUAAACUAGACCUCUCCCAAAAAACUAGAUGUAUUGGAUCUGGAAUUGAACUCAGAUCCUUUAGGAUAGUAAGCUAUUGCAUUACCAUGCAGCCAUCUGACUGAUCUGGAUCAAACAGGUCAAAAAUGUUUCUGUGUUCAUAUAAUAAUUGUAAUAAAGUUUUUCCAUAUCCUACCUAAGUUGCUAG